This 484-nucleotide ribosomal RNA is filed under the name uncultured bacterium. RNAcentral's name for it is "partial 16S ribosomal RNA". It matches the Rfam family "Bacterial small subunit ribosomal RNA", at positions 29 to 507 of the family's 1533-position model. The record is from RNAcentral.
AUUGAACGCUGGCGGCAUGCUUUACACAUGCAAGUCGAACGGCAGCGCGGGCUUCGGCCUGGCGGCGAGUGGCGAACGGGUGAGUAAUACAUCGGAACGUGCCCAGUAGUGGGGGAUAGCUCGGCGAAAGCCGGAUUAAUACCGCAUACGACCUGAGGGUGAAAGCGGGGGAUCUUCGGACCUCGCGCUAUUGGAGCGGCCGAUGGCAGAUUAGCUAGUUGGUGGGGUAAAGGCCUACCAAGGCGACGAUCUGUAGCUGGUCUGAGAGGACGACCAGCCACACUGGGACUGAGACACGGCCCAGACUCCUACGGGAGGCAGCAGUGGGGAAUUUUGGACAAAGGGCGAAAGCCUGAUCCAGCAAUGCCGCGUGUGUGAUGAAGGCCUUCGGGUUGUAAAGCACUUUUGGCGGGAACGAAAAGGACUGUGCCAAUACCACGGUUCGACGACGGUACCCGCAGAAUAAGCACCGGCUAACUACGUG